Molecule: ribosomal RNA, 426 nt
Filed under: uncultured bacterium
Lineage: Bacteria
Description: partial 16S ribosomal RNA
Rfam family: Bacterial small subunit ribosomal RNA
Source: RNAcentral
GUGAGGAAUAUUCCGCAAUGGGGGAAACCCUGACGGAGCAAUGCCGCGUGCAGGAUGAAGGCCCUCGGGUCGUAAACUGCUUUUAUAUGAGAAGAAUAUGACGGUAACAUAUGAAUAAGGGACGGCUAACUACGUGCCAGCAGCCGCCGUCAUACGUAGGUCCCAAGCGUUAUCCGGAGUGACUGGGCGUAAAGAGUUGCGUAGGCGGCUCGUUAAGCGUGAAAUGAAAUUUAUCGGCUCAACCGGUAAACUAUUUCGCGAACUGACGGGCUCGAGAGUAUGAGAGGUUACUGGAAUUUCUAGUGUAGCAGUGAAAUGCGUAGAUAUUAGAAAGAACACCAACGGCGUAGGCAGGUAACUGGCAUACAUCUGACGCUGAGGCACGAAAGCGUGGGGAGCGAACCGGAUUAGAAACCCUAGUAGUCC